AUGCCUAGGCGCCAGGAGCCGAAGAAGGACGCGGUAAGCUGCGAAAAGCCACGGGGAACUGCAAGCGAGUAUUGAUCCGUGGAUAUCCGAAUGGGGAAACCCGGCCAUCGUAAUGGAUGGUCAUCCGCAAGGAAGGGAACCCGGGGAACUGAAACAUCUAAGUACCCGGAGGAAAAGAAAUCAAACGAGAUGCCCACAGUAGCGGCGAGCGAAGAGGGCAGAGCCCAAACCUGUAAGCUACGGCUUAUGGGGGUUGAGGACUGACGUAAUUAAGGCCAGGCUUAGCUGAACUACCUGGGAAGGUAGGCGAUAGAAGGUAAGAGCCCUGUAAGCGAAAGGCAGAGCCUUAAGGUCAGUAUCCAGAGUACCACGGAGCACGAGGAAUUCUGUGGGAAGCAGGGGGGACCACCCUCCAAGGCUAAAGACUAACUGGCGACCGAUAGCGCAUAGUACCGUGAGGGAAAGGUGAAAAGAACCCCGGGAGGGGAGUGAAAUAGUACCUGAAACCGUAUGUCUACAAGCAGUCGGAGCGAAAGCGACGGCGUGCCUAUUGAAGAAUGAACCAACGAGUUAUCUGCACUAGCGAGGUUAAGUGGAAGACACGGAGCCGUAGCGAAAGCGAGUCUGAAAAGGGCGGCGAGUUAGUGUAGGUAGACCCGAAACCGCAGUGAUCUACCCAUGUCCAGGUUGAAGCGCAGGUAAAAAUGCGUGGAGGACCGAACCGGUGAGCGUUGAAAAGCUUUCGGAUGAGAUGUGGGUAGGGGUGAAAUUCCAAUCGAACGCGGAGAUAGCUGGUUCUCCCCGAAAUAGCUUUAGGGCUAGCCUCAGGUAGUAAGUAUAGGCGGUAGAGCACUGAUCGGGCUAGGGGCCAUAAAGGUUACCGAACCCUGUCAAACUCCGAAUGGAUAUACUGCAGAGCCUGGGAGUCAGACUACGAGUGAUAAGAUCCGUGGUCAAAAGGGAAACAGCCCAGACCACCGGCUAAGGUCCCAAAUGCCGUACUAAGUGGAAAAGGAUGUGGGGAUUCAUAAACAACCAGGAUGUUGGCUCAGAAGCAGCCAUCAUUUAAAGAGUGCGUAAUAGCUCACUGGUCGAGAGUCCCUGCGCCGAAAAUUUCCGGGGCUAAAGUACGGAACCGAAGCCGUGGCUGUGCAUGUAAGUGCACGGGGUAGGGGAGCGUUGCCACAGGGGUGAAGCUGGUCUGGAAGGACUGGUGGACUUGUGGGAAGUGAGAAUGUUGGUAUGAGUAGCGAAAAGAAAGGUGAGAAUCCUUUCCACCGAAAGCAUAAGGAUUCCUGAGCAACGAUCGUCGUCUCAGGGUAAGUCGGGACCUAAUCCGAGGCAAAGAGCGUAGGAGAUGGACAACAGGUUGAUAUUCCUGUACCGGCAGCAAUUGUUUGAGCGAAGGAGUGACACAGAAGGGCAGGCAGGCGCGAGACUGGAUUGUCGCGUGCAAGCGUGUAGGGUAGUGUACAGGCAAAUCCGUACACUGAAAGCCUGAGGCGUUACGCGGAGCGAGCAGAGAUGCGAGCGAAGCUGCUGAUCCCACACUGUCGAGAAAAGCUUCUAGUGAGAGAGCUGCCGCCCGUACCGUAAACCGACACAGGUAUGCGGGGAGAGAAUCCUAAGGUGCGCGGGAGAACCCUCGUUAAGGAACUCGGCAAAAUGUACCCGUAACUUCGGGAUAAGGGUAGCCGUCUUGGUGAAGGAGCUUGCCUCUGGAGCUGAAGGCGGUCGCAGAGAAGAGGCCCAAGCGACUGUUUACCACAAACACAGGUGCCUGCUAAAGCGAAAGCUGACGUAUAGGUGCUGACACCUGCCCAGUGCUGGAAGGUUAAGGAAGGAUGUCCGGGCAACCAAAGCAUUCGACCGAAGCCCCAGUGAACGGCGGCCGUAACUAUAACGGUCCUAAGGUAGCGAAAUUCCUUGUCGGGUAAGUUCCGACCCGCACGAAAGGUGUAACGAUUUGGGCACUGUCUCAACGAGGGACCCGGUGAAAUUGAAAUACCUGUGAAGAUGCAGGUUACCCGCGACUGGACAGAAAGACCCCAUGGAGCUUUACUGUAACCUGACAUUGGGUUUUGUUGUAUUACGUACAGGAUAGGUGGGAGGCUUAGAAGGCUGGACGCUAGUCUGGCUGGAGCCGUCGUUGGGAUACCACCCUUGAUACAACGGAAUUCUAACCGAGAGAGUAACGAAAUCCGGGACAGUGUCAGGCGGGCAGUUUGACUGGGGCGGUCGCC
Molecule: ribosomal RNA, 2243 nt
Filed under: human gut metagenome
Description: bacterial LSU rRNA
Rfam family: Bacterial large subunit ribosomal RNA
Source: RNAcentral